UAAGCGGAGGAAAAGAAACCAACAGGGAUUGCCUUAGUAGCGGCGAGUGAAGCGGCAAAAGCUCAAAUUUGAAAUCUGGCGCCUUCGGUGUCCGAGUUGUAAUUUGAAGAUUGUAACCUUGGGGUUGGCUCUUGUCUAUGUUUCUUGGAACAGGACGUCACAGAGGGUGAGAAUCCCGUGCGAUGAGAUGCCCAAUUCUAUGUAAGGUGCUUUCGAAGAGUCGAGUUGUUUGGGAAUGCAGCUCUAAGUGGGUGGUAAAUUCCAUCUAAAGCUAAAUAUUGGCGAGAGACCGAUAGCGAACAAGUACAGUGAUGGAAAGAUGAAAAGAACUUUGAAAAGAGAGUGAAAAAGUACGUGAAAUUGUUGAAAGGGAAGGGUUUGAGAUCAGACUCGAUAUUUUGUGAGCCUUGCCUUCGUGGCGGGGUGACCCGCAGCUUAUCGGGCCAGCAUCGGUUUGGGCGGUAGGAUAAUGGCGUAGGAAUGUGACUUUACUUCGGUGAAGUGUUAUAGCCUGCGUUGAUGCUGCCUGCCUAGACCGAGGACUGCGAUUUUAUCAAGGAUGCUGGCAUAAUGAUCCCAAACCGCCCGUCUUGAAACACG
Molecule: ribosomal RNA, 600 nt
Filed under: [Candida] sp. RY-3
Lineage: Eukaryota; Fungi; Ascomycota; Saccharomycetes; Saccharomycetales
Description: eukaryotic LSU rRNA
Rfam family: Eukaryotic large subunit ribosomal RNA
Source: RNAcentral